AUUGAACGCUAGCGGGAUGCCUUACACAUGCAAGUCGAACGGAGGGGCGAACGGGUGAGGAAUGGAAAGGAACGGGCCAAGUAGCGGGGGAUAACUACGCGAAAGGGUAGCUAAAACCGAAAACUAUUGGAAUGGCAGAUAUCGGAUUAGCUAGUUGGUGGGGGAAGGGCUCACCAAGGCGACGAUCCGUAGCUGGUGUGAGAGGAAGACCAGCCACACUGGGACUGAGACACGGUCCAGACGCCUACGGGAGGCAGCAGUGGGGAAUUUUGGACAAUGGGCGAAACCCUGAUCCAGCCAUCCCGCGUGUGCGAUGAAGGCCUUCGGGUUGUAAAGCACUUUUGGCAGGAAGGCGGUACCUGCAGAAUAAGCACCGGCUAACUCCGUGCCAGCAGCCGCGGUAAUUC
RNAcentral lists this ribosomal RNA (407 nucleotides) under uncultured bacterium. Its description in RNAcentral is "partial 16S ribosomal RNA". It matches the Rfam family "Bacterial small subunit ribosomal RNA", at positions 29 to 526 of the family's 1533-position model. The record is from RNAcentral.